UGGGGAAUUUUGGACAAUGGGGGAAACCCUGAUCCAGCCAUCCCGCGUGUGCGAUGAAGGCCUUCGGGUUGUAAAGCACUUUUGGCAGGAAAGAAACGUCGCGGGUUAAUACCCCGCGAAACUGACGGUACCUGCAGAAUAAGCACCGGCUAACUACGUGCCAGCAGCCGCGGUAAUACGUAGGGUGCAAGCGUUAAUCGGAAUUACUGGGCGUAAAGCGUGCGCAGGCGGUUCGGAAAGAAAGAUGUGAAAUCCCAGAGCUUAACUUUGGAACUGCAUUUUUAACUACCGGGCUAGAGUGUGUCAGAGGGAGGUGGAAUUCCGCGUGUAGCAGUGAAAUGCGUAGAUAUGCGGAGGAACACCGAUGGCGAAGGCAGCCUCCUGGGAUAACACUGACGCUCAUGCACGAAAGCGUGGGGAGCAAACAGGAUUAGAUACCCUGGUAGUCCACGCCCUAAACGAUGUCAACUAGCUGUUGGGGCCUUCGGGCCUUGGUAGCGCAGCUAACGCGUGAAGUUGACCGCCUGGGGGAGUACGGUCGCAAGAUUAAAACUC
RNAcentral lists this ribosomal RNA (555 nucleotides) under uncultured bacterium. RNAcentral describes it as "partial 16S ribosomal RNA". It matches the Rfam family "Bacterial small subunit ribosomal RNA", at positions 355 to 902 of the family's 1533-position model. The record is from RNAcentral.